Molecule: long non-coding RNA, 485 nt
Organism: Cyanistes caeruleus (blue tit)
Lineage: Eukaryota; Metazoa; Chordata; Aves; Passeriformes; Paridae
Source: RefSeq, a predicted model, not a curated record
UUAUUUUUCCCCCCUUUGUCUCAGAGAUUGCCCUCAGUGGUUUUGAACCACCUGGGGGAAAAUUCCACAGGUUCCUGCCUGUCUCCUAGGCAGAGAGCAAGUGGUCCCACUCCAUCAAGCCAGUCCAACUUGCCAGGCACCCAACUGAGAGAAGACCACAAGUCACACAAGUCCUUGCCUUGACUGCUUCUGCUGUCUCCUGUCAUGACAAAGGAAUGAAUGAAGCACGAAACCUCCCCAGACCCAAAUUUGAAAGGUUCUAGGAGCAGCACUGUCUCACUGAAGCAGUACAAGUUUGAUUUCCAGAACAUCAGCCUGAGGACAGGAGCACCCACAAAAGAAAGGGGUGACAUAGUCUCUGCUCAGAAGGUGGCAGAUAUUUUUCCAGAACAACUAAAAUGAAAUGUUGGCCCAAGACUCAGCUGCAUCAAACAAGAAAAUAAAAUAAACUUCACAGAAGUUUACUCAGUGGUGUGCAUUUGCUG